This 487-nucleotide unclassified non-coding RNA is filed under the name Patiria miniata (bat star). Its description in RNAcentral is "homeobox protein ARX-like, transcript variant X2". Lineage: Eukaryota; Metazoa; Echinodermata; Asteroidea; Valvatida; Asterinidae. The record is from RNAcentral.
UCGCGAAAUUAAUCAGACCAAGAACAAAACGAGGCAUUUCAAACCUAACUCUGUGUUUUGAAUGGCUGUAUCAAUGGCCAUUGGCGAUUUCCACGAUAAGUCAACCACCACCAAGAGCUAUGUUUUUUUCUCUCACCAUACAGGAACGUAUAUGUGAGGAGAAUCUGCAAAUUCACUUUUCUGUGUGACGGGAGACGAAUUAAGAGCUGAACAGUUGAGACAGAAGGAUGUAUUGCUUCUACGAGUAUCAAUAUUCAAACCACAGCCACCAUCGGAAACAUUAACACUCAAUUGGUCCUUUGGGGCAAAACCAGUGAAGCGGAGUGCUAUCCGGCGGUGAUAUUCGAGUGCAAGCUAACAUGUGUGGUUUCAGAACCGGCGGGCCAAGUGGCGCAAGCAGGAGAAAGGCUCCGGGGCCGCGGGACGGGAGAGCUGUCGUCACCUCGGCGGUGCGGGCAGCGUUGCCAAGCAGCCCACGAAUCCGUCC